CGCGGUCAUGGUUCGCGCGGUCAUGGUUCGCGCGGUCAUGGUUCGCGCGGUCAUGGUUCGCAUGGUCAUGGUUCGCACGAUCACGCUUCGCGCGGUCACGG
RNAcentral lists this transfer RNA (101 nucleotides) under Planobispora longispora. Its description in RNAcentral is "tRNA-His". Lineage: Bacteria; Bacillati; Actinomycetota; Actinomycetes; Streptosporangiales; Streptosporangiaceae. The record is from RNAcentral.